RNAcentral lists this ribosomal RNA (497 nucleotides) under uncultured bacterium. RNAcentral's name for it is "partial 16S ribosomal RNA". It matches the Rfam family "Bacterial small subunit ribosomal RNA", at positions 28 to 507 of the family's 1533-position model. The record is from RNAcentral.
GACGAACGCUGGCGGCGUGCCUAAUACAUGCAAGUAGAACGCUGAAGAGAGGAGCUUGCUCUUCUUGGAUGAGUUGCGAACGGGUGAGUAACGCGUAGGUAACCUGCCUUGUAGCGGGGGAUAACUAUUGGAAACGAUAGCUAAUACCGCAUAACAAUGGAUGACACAUGUCAUUUAUUUGAAAGGGGCAAUUGCUCCACUACAAGAUGGACCUGCGUUGUAUUAGCUAGUAGGUGAGGUAAUGGCUCACCUAGGCGACGAUACAUAGCCGACCUGAGAGGGUGAUCGGCCACACUGGGACUGAGACACGGCCCAGACUCCUACGGGAGGCAGCAGUAGGGAAUCUUCGGCGAUGGGGGCAACCCUGACCGAGCGACGCCGCGUGAGUGAAGAAGGUUUUCGGAUCGUAAAGCUCUGUUGUAAGUCAAGAUCGGGUGUGAGAGUGGAAAGUUCACACUGUGACGGUAGCUUACCAGAAAGGGACGGCUAACUACGUG